UACGUGAGCCCCAAGCGUUACCCGGAUUUACUGGGCGUAAAGGGUUCGUAGGCGGCUCUAUUAGUCGUUCGUUAAAUCCCGCGGCUCAACUGCGGAAUCGCGAACGAAACGGUAGAGCUCGAGGGCGCGAGAGGUCUGUGGAACUCAUGGUGUAGGGGUGAAAUCCGUUGAUAUCAUGGGGAACACCGAAAGCGAAGGCAGCAGACUGGUGCGUUCCUGACGCUCAUGAACGAAAGCCAGGGUAGCGAACGGG
RNAcentral lists this unclassified non-coding RNA (253 nucleotides) under uncultured Parcubacteria group bacterium. RNAcentral describes it as "contains 16S-23S intergenic spacer region". It matches the Rfam family "Bacterial small subunit ribosomal RNA", at positions 524 to 776 of the family's 1533-position model. The record is from RNAcentral.